UACGUAGGGCGCGAGCGUUGUCCGGAAUCAUUGGGCGUAAAGAGCAUGUAGGUGGAUCAAUUAGUCUGCUGUGAAAGUCAAAGGCUCAACCUUUGAAAGCCGGUGGAUACUGUUGGUCUAGAGUACGGAAGAGGCGAGUGGAAUUCCUGGUGUAGCGGUGGAAUGCGCAGAUAUCAGGAGGAACACCAAUAGCGAAGGCAGCUCGCUGGGACGUUACUGACACUGAGAUGCGAAAGCGUGGGGAGCAAACAGG
RNAcentral lists this ribosomal RNA (253 nucleotides) under uncultured bacterium. Its description in RNAcentral is "partial 16S ribosomal RNA". It matches the Rfam family "Bacterial small subunit ribosomal RNA", at positions 524 to 776 of the family's 1533-position model. The record is from RNAcentral.